CCUUGUUAAACGAUAACGUGUUGCACAAAUAGGACUCUCCUGGAUGCAGAAAAUUCAUGACCAGUUGGGUCGGACUGGGCGUGUUUGUUCUGCCUCCCGCCCCUGUCUUCUCUCCAGGGAGGACUGACCGCUAUGCUACGCUGCGUAGAGUCAGCUGGAGAAGGAAGCAUGCGUGUGAGCAGGGAAGAUACACGCACAGAGAUGCGCACUGCGGCUCCUUUGGGCCUCAUUCCCAUCCAGCAUUCACCAUGGCCCUGCGGUCAGAGCUCAGCUGCACCCAGGAUGCGAGCAAGUUGGGUGAGACUCAAAAUGAGUACAAGACAAGUGUGUUGCGUCGGCCCAGAGAAGCUGUGCUGCUGUCCCAAUCUGAGCUUGCUUUGAACACAGAAAGGGCAAUCGCAUUUUCUGAAUCAUGAAUGACCAAGGAUCCCCAUCAUAUCCUUUCUUGCUCAUGUAGUUCUGUGUAGUAGCCAACACAUGGGCUAAGAAAAAAAAAAAAAAAAAAAAAGGGAAAGGUGGAGGCAAACCCCGGUUCCUUUCCUUGCAGUCCUUCCUCACCCAUCAACAAGGGGAAGGUGGAGUGUGGCUGGAAUGUGUGUGUAUCAAGAAAUGAAAUAAAAAG
RNAcentral lists this long non-coding RNA (622 nucleotides) under Mustela putorius furo (domestic ferret). Its description in RNAcentral is "lncRNA (ENSMPUG00000029417.1)". Lineage: Eukaryota; Metazoa; Chordata; Mammalia; Carnivora; Mustelidae. The record is from RNAcentral.